CCUACGGGUGGCAGCAGUGGGGAAUAUUGCACAAUGGGGGAAACCCUGAUGCAGCAACGCCGCGUGAGGGAUGAAGUCUUUCGGUAUGUAAAGCUCUAUCAGCAGGGAAGAAGAUGACGGUACCUGAUGAAGAAGCCCCGGCUAACUCCGUGCCAGCAGCCGCGGUAAUACGUGGGGGGCAAGCGUUAUCCGGAUUUACUGGGUGUAAAGGGAGCGUAGACGGCGGGGCAAGUCUGGAGUGAAAGCCCGGGGCCCAACCCCGGAACUGCACUGGAAACUGUGCGGCUAGAGUACUGUAGGGGUAGGCGGAAUUCCUGGUGUAGCGGUGAAAUGCGUAGAUAUUAGGAGGAACACCGGUGGCGAAGGCGGCUUGCUGGACAGUAACUGACGCUGAGGCUCGAAAGCGUGGGGAGCAAACAGGAUUAGAUACCCUAGUAGUC
This 440-nucleotide ribosomal RNA is filed under the name uncultured bacterium. RNAcentral describes it as "partial 16S ribosomal RNA". It matches the Rfam family "Bacterial small subunit ribosomal RNA", at positions 338 to 795 of the family's 1533-position model. The record is from RNAcentral.